ACAAACUUAGAACAACUCUAACACUCACACAAGCUUAUUACAGACAAACUCAUUCGUAUACACACCCUCACUACAGACAAGCUUUCUGACACACAUACACAUGAUCACUACAGACAAGCUCACUGACACACACAUUCUCAUUCCAGACAAACUCACUGACACACACAUGGUCACUACAGACAAGUUUAUUGACACAAAAAUGCUCCCUCCAGACAAGCUCACUGACACC
Non-coding RNA from Pelobates cultripes (western spadefoot toad), 229 nucleotides. The record is from the annotation of a GenBank genome assembly. Lineage: Eukaryota; Metazoa; Chordata; Amphibia; Anura; Pelobatidae.